Cebus imitator (Panamanian white-faced capuchin) is the source of this 141-nucleotide small nuclear RNA. Its record names the gene U4. It matches the Rfam family "U4 spliceosomal RNA". From Rfam's summary of the family: U4 small nuclear RNA (U4 snRNA) is a component of the major U2-dependent spliceosome. The structure of U4 snRNA from yeast and human has been reported. U4 snRNA presents a k-turn RNA motif in the 5p-SL related to recognition of Snu13 protein. Lineage: Eukaryota; Metazoa; Chordata; Mammalia; Primates; Cebidae. The record is from Ensembl.
AGCUUUGCUCAGUGCCAGUAUCAGAGCUGAUGAGUUUUACCUGAGAUGAGAGUAUUGCUAAUUGAAAACUUUUCCCAAUACCGCACCGUGAUAACAUGCAAUAGAGUUGGCAUUGACAAUUUUUGACAGUCUCUAGGGAGA